CACUAAGAAGCUAAGCGGUUAAAAGCGUUAGCCUUUUAAGCUAAAGAAUGGUGACUACCAACCACCCUUAGUGA
RNAcentral lists this transfer RNA (74 nucleotides) under Macropodus erythropterus. RNAcentral's name for it is "tRNA-Lys". It matches the Rfam family "tRNA". Rfam says of the family: Transfer RNA (tRNA) molecules are approximately 80 nucleotides in length. Their secondary structure includes four short double-helical elements and three loops (D, anti-codon, and T loops). Lineage: Eukaryota; Metazoa; Chordata; Actinopteri; Anabantiformes; Osphronemidae. The record is from RNAcentral.